AGAACGAACGCUGGCGGCAUGCCUAACACAUGCAAGUCGAACGAGACCUUCGGGUCUAGUGGCGCACGGGUGCGUAACGCGUGGGAAUCUGCCCUUGGGUACGGAAUAACAGCGAGAAAUUGCUGCUAAUACCGUAUAAUGACGUAAGUCCAAAGAUUUAUCGCCCAGGGAUGAGCCCGCGUAGGAUUAGCUUGUUGGUGAGGUAAAAGCUCACCAAGGCGACGAUCCUUAGCUGGUCUGAGAGGAUGAUCAGCCACACUGGGACUGAGACACGGCCCAGACUCCUACGGGAGGCAGCAGUGGGGAAUAUUGGACAAUGGGCGAAAGCCUGAUCCAGCAAUGCCGCGUGAGUGAUGAAGGCCUUAGGUUGUAAAGCUCUUUUGCCCGGGAUGAUAAUGACAGUACCGGAGAAUAAGCUCCGGCUAACUCCGUGCUAGCAGCCGC
Molecule: ribosomal RNA, 444 nt
Filed under: uncultured soil bacterium
Lineage: Bacteria
Description: bacterial SSU rRNA
Rfam family: Bacterial small subunit ribosomal RNA
Source: RNAcentral